RNAcentral lists this transfer RNA (63 nucleotides) under Cryolaternula elliptica. Its description in RNAcentral is "tRNA-Glu". Lineage: Eukaryota; Metazoa; Mollusca; Bivalvia; Laternulidae. The record is from RNAcentral.
UGUUAUAUGGUGUAACGCACGGUGGCUUUUCACGCCACAAGAACUAUUCAUUAGUUAUAGCAA